Long non-coding RNA from Musa acuminata AAA Group (dessert banana), 2326 nucleotides. RefSeq lists it as uncharacterized. The record is from RefSeq and is a predicted model, not a curated record. The transcript is spliced from 4 exons. Lineage: Eukaryota; Viridiplantae; Streptophyta; Magnoliopsida; Zingiberales; Musaceae.
GAUUUGAUAGCAUAGUUAUGGGCCAAGCCCAACUAUACGUCACGAAUACGAAAGCCAUUAAACAAACGUACGGUGUCGCAUAUGCUUUACUUUGAGGACAAAGCAUCAGAAACCACGUGUCCACCUGCACAUCACCCAAAUCCAUCUCGUAAAGUGCAGUGGCAUCCGAAAACCAGGGGCGUCAUGGGUGGUCUUCCAAAACCAGGCGUCGCUUCGAAGGAGUCCGCUGCCUUCUUAUAUUUGUUCGCCGGUGCAGCCGUAGUGGCCAGCGCAAGUAAUAGGCAGCAAGGCGACAAGGAACGGGAGAUGAUCGGGUCUCUGGAAGCUCUUGGUAUGGGGCUGGGUUGGAAAACCCUACCGCCCCGCCAUGUUUGUCUUACAUGGAGUGAGGUCUUUUCCAAUGCCUCCCAUGCCAAUGGUUUCCAGGGACCCCUCCCUUUCCCUCUCUGAGUCUUUUGAGGAUUGGUGUGACAUGUUAUGGUAAAGAAGGCGCCGGGAGGAGGGAGAGGAAGCACAGGGAUUCCUACAAGCUGUGGGGAUGGGGGCAUCGGCAUGCCCAUACCUGCUCUGGCUGAGAGAUGCAGGUUGAUGGUGCUUGCCGAUCCCUCCCAUGCCGAUGGUUUUUAGGAGCUCCUUUCUCUCCCUUGCCCCUCUUGUAAUGCUCUUACGUUACGGAUGCGACUUACAAGCUAAGCUGGCACACAAGUAUAGAGAGAUGUCACUUCACUCGAGCCACAUGAGGGAGUCCCUUCACCAAACCCUGUGAUGAAUCAUUUAAGCUUGGAGUCAUCAAAAUGAUGUUUCCAUGGCAAGCGAUAAAGAAACAUGAUUUGGUGGAACAUUAACAGCUCUGUUUCUAGAAGCAAUUUUAUUAGCAAUUUCUGAUCUUGUGCACAGGCCAUGGCGGAAUAUAUACAGGUAAACUAGCCAUGGUUGGAGACAACCAGCACCAAUAAACUAAGCAAGAGAGCAAGGGGAUGGAGAGACCUUCCUUCACCAUGUUGCUGCUGCUGCUCCUGCUAAUUUUAGCUGCUUCUGUUCAUGGGAUCCCAGUCAACCAUGCUAAUGGAGAUGAAAGAAGAAGGGUUUUAGGUGGAAGAGUCGGAGACCCACCUCCUUCUCCUUUGGCCAGUCCUUCAAGGCGUUACUUCCCACCCCAUGCAGAAUCGCCAUGCUAAUGUGUUGCUCAGUAUAUGUCUCUGUUCAUGUGCUCCUACUGAAGUGCUAUGUGAGGUGUUGUGGACUUAUUAUUAUGAGGAAGAUGAAGGCUGUCAACUUGUGGGAUGCAGGAUUUAGAUUACAACUUUACAUAUACCUUUCAUUAGCAAGAUGAUCAAGAUUUGAAAUCAUGAAAUCCAUAAUUAUUAUGUGAACAUCUUUGAUCAUAUGACAAUGUUCCUCAAUAUUAGAAUCUUAUGCAUAGAAAUAUCUCAUACAUCAUGUAGAACCUAAAGUUAUUUGGGUGUGUAUGGGAUAAAUAGAUACAGGAAGAGACAGAUAAAGUUCCUCAGAAGGAUUACAGAUCAUAACCUCUGCAUUCUCAACUCUGUUAGUAAUCUUAUUUCAAAGACUGAUUAGUUGUUGUAGUGGUAAACAAAGAAGAUGAUAAGGUUAGUGGGAGGGAGGGAGUUUUUCCUUGACGAAGGCUGGCGCUAUGUACUUUGAAUCCAUCUGCUAGUGUUUGUCAGAGUCCACUGAGCUCCCACAGAGCAUACGUAGUCACACAAGCACAGACCGACAGGGAUGAGACGUCUUCCCCUGUUGCGAGGUCAAGUAAACGAAGCCAUGACACUAACAAAAUCCUCUAGCAAGUAGUCUCAUCUUCUUCAUCAUCAAGAGGGAAAAGGAAGUGCACACUAAGAGACAUCGAGAGAGAGAGAACAGAGAACAGAGAAGCGAAGGUAGAUGGAUAUGUCGGACCAGGAAACUUGAUUCCCCGCAGUGCAACGUGACUCCCCCGUGAGAUCCGCUUGGAGAGGGCGCCUGCAAAGCUCUUUGGACUGCUUUGUUUGUUCUUGGCGGGCUUCCUCUGCUCAUGUGGCGUCGAGGUAGCUCAGCACGAGGAGGGAGGAUCGCCUCUUGCCGCUGCAUCUGCGUCCACCUCCUCCAGCAUCGCCGGACUUUGGCCAGAACACCUUCGCCUCCAUGAAGGGAAGAAGAAGAGUCUGGCAGCUGAAGUAAGACAACCAAGCAAAAGCUCAAGUUGACAAGCAACCUUAGAAGAGGAGGAGGAGGUCAGAAAGAAUAAAGGGAGUUAGGCAGGAGACCAUGUAAAGAAUAUAUACAUAUAUAUAGUGAAUGAGAGAGAGAGAGAGUUUAAAGGAGU